UCUCUCCCUAAUGGUGGUGCGAAAAACAAAGAUGUAGAUAUGGAAGGAAUGUGACCUGAAUGUUUAAGCUCUUCCUGGUCAUAAGUCAGUCUGCUAACUCUCAGCUGAAGAAUGGAAGGAAUAAAAUUGCUUUCUGUCAUGAAUUACUCCUCCUCGAUCGGCCGCUGCGCUGUGUUUUUCUUCAUAGCCAUCUUCCUGGAUGUAGUCGGCCUCAUCCUCUUCCUCAUUGGGAUUGCAGCUCGCAUCAGUUAUUGGGACUUUUUUGUCCUCUCAGGGCCGCUAAUCAUGUUUCUCAGUCUGGUGUGCUGGAUUUUCUGGUAUCUUGGAAACCUAGAGGUGUCGAUAGAGGAGCUGUUUGUGGUUUGAGAUUCUUCAUUCGUCUCCUUUUAUCACCAUCGCUAGAAACGGAAAUUAAAGCACCAUCCACAGGUGUUUGUGUGUUUAACCUUUAUGUGGAAGGACAAACAAGGAGCUACAAUUUUUAGAUAUGACCGUUGAGAAUAAAAAGCUCUUUCAUUUUUAUGCCAGGGG
Cyprinodon variegatus (sheepshead minnow) is the source of this 531-nucleotide long non-coding RNA. RefSeq lists it as uncharacterized. NCBI's taxonomy places the organism in Eukaryota, Metazoa, Chordata, Actinopteri, Cyprinodontiformes, Cyprinodontidae. The transcript is spliced from 2 exons. The record is from RefSeq and is a predicted model, not a curated record.